GAUGAACGCUAGCUACAGGCUUAACACAUGCAAGUCGCGGGGCAGCAUGGGGGUUGCUUGCAAUCCCCGAUGGCGACCGGCGCACGGGUGAGUAACGCGUAUCCAACCUGCCCUUCACCACGGGAUAACCCGGCGAAAGUCGGACUAAUACCGUAUGUUGUCCAUUGACGGCAUCCGAUUUGGACGAAAGGCUUGGCGGUGAGGGAUGGGGAUGCGUCCGAUUAGCCAGACGGCGGGGUAACGGCCCACCGUGGCUACGAUCGGUAGGGGUUCUGAGAGGAGGGUCCCCCACACUGGAACUGAGACACGGUCCAGACUCCUACGGGAGGCAGCAGUGAGGAAUAUUGGUCAAUGGGCGUAAGCCUGAACCAGCCAAGUAGCGUGCAGGAUGACGGCCCUAUGGGUUGUAAACUGCUUUUAUGCGGGGAUAAAGUGGCCCACGUGUGGGCUUUUGCAGGUACCGCAUGAAUAAGGACCGGCUAAUUCCGUG
RNAcentral lists this ribosomal RNA (490 nucleotides) under uncultured bacterium. RNAcentral's name for it is "partial 16S ribosomal RNA". It matches the Rfam family "Bacterial small subunit ribosomal RNA", at positions 28 to 507 of the family's 1533-position model. The record is from RNAcentral.